This 657-nucleotide ribosomal RNA is filed under the name uncultured eukaryote. RNAcentral describes it as "SSU rRNA". It matches the Rfam family "Eukaryotic small subunit ribosomal RNA", at positions 613 to 1272 of the family's 1831-position model. The record is from RNAcentral.
UUGCGGUUAAAAAGCUCGUAGUUGGAUCUUAGAGUGUGAGUGAAUGGUCGAUCGAAAGAUUGUACUGUUCGGCACACUCUUCUCUUCGGUUGCGUGUGUAGUGCCCUUAACUGAGUGCUGCACUCGACCGGAAUUUUUACCUUGAAAAAAUUAGAGUGUUCAAAGCAGACCUGAUUAUGUCUGAAUAUUCGUGCAUGGAAUAAUAAAAUAAGAACUUGGUUCUAUUUUAUUGGUUUUCGGAACUCGAGUUAAUGAUUAAGAGGGACAGACGGGGGCAUCCGUACUCUGCCGUUAGAGGUGAAAUUCUUGGAUCGGCGGAAGACGCGCAACUGCGAAAGCAUUUGCCAAGAAUGUUUUCUUUAAUCAAGAACGAAAGUCGGAGGUUCGAAGACGAUCAGAUACCGUCCUAGUUUCGACUGUAAACUAUGCCAGCUAACGAUCAGACAGCGUUCUCUACGACUUGUCUGGCGGUUUCCGGGAAACCAAAGCUUUUGGGUUCCGGGGGAAGUAUGGUUGCAAAGCUGAAACUUAAUGGAAUUGACGGAAGGGCACCACCAGGAGUGGAGCCUGCGGCUUAAUUUGACUCAACACGGGGAAACUCACCCGGCCCGGACACAGUGAGGAUUGACAGAUUGAGAGUUCUUUCUUGAUUCUGUG